RNAcentral lists this ribosomal RNA (639 nucleotides) under uncultured Actinomycetes bacterium. Its description in RNAcentral is "bacterial SSU rRNA". It matches the Rfam family "Bacterial small subunit ribosomal RNA", at positions 232 to 885 of the family's 1533-position model. The record is from RNAcentral. Lineage: Bacteria; Bacillati; Actinomycetota; Actinomycetes.
CGCGGCCUAUCAGCUUGUUGGAGAGGUAACGGCUCACCAAGGCAUCGACGGGUAGCUGGUCUGAGAGGAUGAUCAGCCACACUGGAACUGAGACACGGUCCAGACUCCUACGGGAGGCAGCAGUGGGGAAUCUUGCACAAUGGGCGCAAGCCUGAUGCAGCAACGCCGCGUGCGGGAAGAAGGCCCUAGGGUUGUAAACCGCUUUCAGUAGGGAAGAAAAUGACGGUACCUACAGAAGAAGGUGCGGCCAACUACGUGCCAGCAGCCGCGGUGACACGUAGGCACCAAGCGUUAUCCGGAUUUAUUGGGCGCAAAGAGCUCGUAGGCGGUUUGGUAAGUCGGGUGUGAAAACUCUGGGCUCAACCCAGAGAGGCCACCCGAUACUGCUAUGACUAGAGUACGGUAGGGGAGCGGGGAAUUCAUGGUGUAGCGGUGAAAUGCGCAGAUAUCAUGAGGAACACCAGCGGCGAAGGCGCCGCUCUGGGCCGUAACUGACGCUGAGGAGCGAAAGCAUGGGUAGCAAACAGGAUUAGAUACCCUGGUAGUCCAUGCCGUAAACGUUGGGCACUAGGUGUGGGUCUCAACCAACGAGAUCCGCGCCGUCGCUAACGCAUUAAGUGCCCCGCCUGGGGAGUACGG